This is a long non-coding RNA of Symphalangus syndactylus (siamang), 272 nucleotides long. RefSeq lists it as uncharacterized. The record is from RefSeq and is a predicted model, not a curated record. Lineage: Eukaryota; Metazoa; Chordata; Mammalia; Primates; Hylobatidae.
UUCUAUACGACUGUGGAGUCAUUUCAGAGUAUAUUAAAGAGAAAGCAAGAGGAGAAAAAUUCAUAAAGUAUGUCACUGUUCUCCAAGAAAGGUUAGAUAAAAGCACUUUACAUGAUAUACAGUGGAGAAGGAAAUACGUUAAAUAACACUUUAAGGAGGCAAUAAGCAAACUCUAGACUGUGGGAAACUAAAUUUCUAGUUUCUUAAACAUGAGUUGCAAGAGGAAAUAAUUAAAAAGCAACCACCAUUUUACUCUCUACUUCUAUGAGACC